AAGAUUUUAAGUUAAAAUUAAAACUAAUAAUUUUCAAAAUUAUAAAUAUUAUAUCAUUUUAAAUCUUA
This 68-nucleotide transfer RNA is filed under the name Ecnomus sp. XG-2021. Its description in RNAcentral is "tRNA-Trp". The record is from RNAcentral. Lineage: Eukaryota; Metazoa; Arthropoda; Insecta; Trichoptera; Ecnomidae.